CCAGACUCCUACGGGAGGCAGCAGUGAGGAAUAUUGGUCAAUGGGCGAGAGCCUGAACCAGCCAAGUCGCGUGAAGGAUGACGGCCCUACGGGUUGUAAACUUCUUUUGUCAGGGAGCAAUUGGGUCCACGUGUGGUCUUAGCGAGAGUACCUGAAGAAAAAGCAUCGGCUAACUACGUGCCAGCAGCCGCGGUAAUACGUAGGGGGCGAGCGUUAUCCGGAAUUACUGGGUGUAAAGGGAGCGUAGACGGCGAGGUAAGCCUGAAGUGGAAGCCCGCGGCCCAACCGCGGAACUGCUUUGGGAACUGUUUUGCUGGAGUAUGGGAGGGGUAAGCGGAAUUCCUGGUGUAGCGGUGAAAUGCGUAGAUAUCAGGAGGAACACCGGUGGCGAAGGCGGCUUACUGGACCAUAACUGACGUUGAGGCUCGAAAGCGUGGGGAGCGAACAGGAUUAGAUACCCGCGUA
RNAcentral lists this ribosomal RNA (465 nucleotides) under uncultured bacterium. Its description in RNAcentral is "bacterial SSU rRNA". It matches the Rfam family "Bacterial small subunit ribosomal RNA", at positions 331 to 792 of the family's 1533-position model. The record is from RNAcentral.